Molecule: non-coding RNA, 90 nt
Filed under: Pseudomonas baetica
Lineage: Bacteria; Pseudomonadati; Pseudomonadota; Gammaproteobacteria; Pseudomonadales; Pseudomonadaceae
Source: RNAcentral
UGUGGGAGCGGGCUUGCUCGCGAAAGCGGUGGGUCAUUCAGCUAAUGAGUUGACUGACACACCGCUUUCGCGAGCAAGCCCGCUCCCACA